GUUUUCCUGGGGGAUUUCGGACGCUUCCUUGGCUUUCUUGGCAGGCUAGAGCGCGCGGGCGCGCUGUGGCAUGCGCCGUUCGGUAGUGGUGGGGGUGUG
RNAcentral lists this transfer RNA (99 nucleotides) under Streptomyces hundungensis. RNAcentral's name for it is "tRNA-Gln". The record is from RNAcentral. Lineage: Bacteria; Bacillati; Actinomycetota; Actinomycetes; Kitasatosporales; Streptomycetaceae.